RNAcentral lists this ribosomal RNA (1369 nucleotides) under metagenome. Its description in RNAcentral is "bacterial LSU rRNA". It matches the Rfam family "Bacterial large subunit ribosomal RNA", at positions 1582 to 2925 of the family's 2925-position model. The record is from RNAcentral.
GAGCCGAAGUGAAUAACGCCCCGCUUCCAGGAAAAGCCUCUAAGCUUCAGAUCACAUUGGACCGUACCGUAAACCGACACUGGUGGGUGAGCAGAUAAUCUGCCAAGGCGCUUGAGAGAACUCGGGUUAAGGAACUCUGCAAAUUGAUACCGUAACUUCGGAAGAAGGUAUGCCUUCGACGGUGUAGGGAUUUACUCCCGAAGCUGUUGAAGGUCGCAGGUAAUCGGUGGCUGCGACUGUUUAUCAAAAACACAGGACUCUGCGAACACGCAAGUGGAAGUAUAGGGUCUGACGCCUGCCCGGUGCCGGAAGGUUAAUUGAUGGGGUUAGCCGCAAGGCGAAGCUCUUGAUCGAAGCCCCGGUAAACGGCGGCCGUAACGAUAACGGUCCUAAGGUAGCGAAAUUCCUUGUCGGGUAAGUUCCGACCUGCACGAAUGGCGUAACGCUGGCCACACUGUCUCGACCCGAGACUCAGUGAAGUUGAAAUCGCUGUGAAGAUGCGGCGUUCCCGCGGCAAGACGGAAAGACCCCGUGAACCUUCACUACAGCUUUACACUGAACUUUGAACCUUUCUGUGUAGGAUAGGUGGGAGGCUAUGAAACUUGGGCGCUAGCUCGAGUGGAGCCAACCUUGAAAUACCACCCUGGGAUGUUUGAAGUUCUAACCUUGGUCCGUAAUCCGGAUUGGGGACAGUGUAUGGUGGGUAGUUUGACUGGGGCGGUCUCCUCCCAAAGAGUAACGGAGGAGUGCAAUGGUACGCUCAGCGCGGUCGGUCAUCGCGCUCUAGAGUGCAAAGGCAUAAGCGUGCUUAACUGUGAGACAGACACGUCGAACAGGUACGAAAGUAGGUCUUAGUGAUCCGGUGGUUCUGUAUGGAAGGGCCAUCGCUCAACGGAUAAAAGGUACUCCGGGGAUAACAGGCUUAUUCCUCCCAAGAGUCCACAUCGACGGAGGAGUUUGGCACCUCGAUGUCGGCUCAUCACAUCCUGGGGCUGUAGCAGGUCCCAAGGGUAUGGCUGUUCGCCAUUUAAAGUGGUACGCGAGCUGGGUUCAGAACGUCGUGAGACAGUUCGGUCCCUAUCUGCCGUGGGCGUUGGAAACUUGAGGGUGAGCUGUCCUUAGUACGAGAGGACCGGGAUGGACGUAUCUCUGGUGUUCCGGUUGUCACGCCAGUGGCACUGCCGGGUAGCUAUAUACGGACGGGAUAAGCGCUGAAAGCAUCUAAGCGCGAAGCCCCCCCCAAGAUUAGGUUUCCCUGGGAACUCGAUUCCCCUAAAGGGCCGUCGGAGACUACGACGUUGAUAGGCUGGGUGUGUAAGUGCAGCAAUGCAUUGAGCUAACCAGUACUAAUUGCCCGUGAGGCUUGACC